Molecule: ribosomal RNA, 800 nt
Filed under: Acinetobacter johnsonii
Lineage: Bacteria; Pseudomonadati; Pseudomonadota; Gammaproteobacteria; Moraxellales; Moraxellaceae
Description: bacterial SSU rRNA
Rfam family: Bacterial small subunit ribosomal RNA
Source: RNAcentral
UGCAAGUCGAGCGGGGAGAGGUAGCUUGCUACCUAACCUAGCGGCGGACGGGUGAGUAAUGCUUAGGAAUCUGCCUAUUAGUGGGGGACAACAUUCCGAAAGGAAUGCUAAUACCGCAUACGCCCUACGGGGGAAAGCAGGGGAUCUUCGGACCUUGCGCUAAUAGAUGAGCCUAAGUCAGAUUAGCUAGUUGGUGGGGUAAAGGCCUACCAAGGCGACGAUCUGUAGCGGGUCUGAGAGGAUGAUCCGCCACACUGGGACUGAGACACGGCCCAGACUCCUACGGGAGGCAGCAGUGGGGAAUAUUGGACAAUGGGCGAAAGCCUGAUCCAGCCAUGCCGCGUGUGUGAAGAAGGCCUUUUGGUUGUAAAGCACUUUAAGCGAGGAGGAGGCUACUUGGAUUAAUACUCUAGGAUAGUGGACGUUACUCGCAGAAUAAGCACCGGCUAACUCUGUGCCAGCAGCCGCGGUAAUACAGAGGGUGCGAGCGUUAAUCGGAUUUACUGGGCGUAAAGCGUGCGUAGGCGGCUUUUUAAGUCGGAUGUGAAAUCCCUGAGCUUAACUUAGGAAUUGCAUUCGAUACUGGGAAGCUAGAGUAUGGGAGAGGAUGGUAGAAUUCCAGGUGUAGCGGUGAAAUGCGUAGAGAUCUGGAGGAAUACCGAUGGCGAAGGCAGCCAUCUGGCCUAAUACUGACGCUGAGGUACGAAAGCAUGGGGAGCAAACAGGAUUAGAUACCCUGGUAGUCCAUGCCGUAAACGAUGUCUACUAGCCGUUGGGGCCUUUGAGGCUUUAGUGGCGCA